UACGGAGGGUCCAAGCGUUUAUCCGGAAUCAUUGGGUUUAAAGGGUCCGUAGGCGGUCUUGUAAGUCAGUGGUGAAAGCCCAUCGCUCAACGGUGGAACGGCCAUUGAUACUGCAAGACUUGAAUUAUUGGGAAGCAACUAGAAUAUGUAGUGAUAGCGGUGAAAUGACUUAGAGAUUACAUGGAAUACCAAUUGCGAAGGCAGGUU
RNAcentral lists this ribosomal RNA (207 nucleotides) under uncultured bacterium. RNAcentral describes it as "partial 16S ribosomal RNA". It matches the Rfam family "Bacterial small subunit ribosomal RNA", at positions 524 to 727 of the family's 1533-position model. The record is from RNAcentral.